UGUUUUCUGAUAUUGCUUUUAA
This 22-nucleotide non-coding RNA is filed under the name Arabidopsis thaliana (thale cress). Lineage: Eukaryota; Viridiplantae; Streptophyta; Magnoliopsida; Brassicales; Brassicaceae. The record is from RNAcentral.